Molecule: ribosomal RNA, 403 nt
Filed under: uncultured bacterium
Lineage: Bacteria
Description: partial 16S ribosomal RNA
Rfam family: Bacterial small subunit ribosomal RNA
Source: RNAcentral
GACGAACGCUGGCGGCGUGCCUAAUACAUGCAAGUCGAACGCAGUGGGGACGGGUGAGUAAAACGUGGGUAACCUCCCAUCAGAGGGGAUAAAACUUGGAAAAAGGUGCUAAAACGAUACUGAUGGAUGGACCCGCGGUGCAUUGGCGAGUUGGUGAGGUAACGGCUCACCAAGGCCACGAUGCAUAGCUGACCCAAGCGGAGGAGCGCCCACACUGGGAUUGAGACACGGCCCAGACUCCUACGGGAGGCAGCAGUAGGGAAUCUUCGGCAAUGGACGAAAGUCUGACCGAGCAACGCCGCGUGAGUGAAGAAGGUUUUCGGAUCGUAAAACUCUGUUGUUAGAGAAGCGGUAUCUAACCAGAAAGCCACGGCUAACUACGUGCCAGCAGCCGCGGUAAUUC